GAUGAACGCUGGCGGCGUGCCUAAUACAUGCAAGUCGAGCGAACAGACGAGGAGCUUGCUCCUCUGACGUUAGCGGCGGACGGGUGAGUAACACGUGGAUAACCUACCUAUAAGACUGGGAUAACUUCGGGAAACCGGAGCUAAUACCGGAUAAUAUAUUGAACCGCAUGGUUCAAUAGUGAAAGACGGUUUUGCUGUCACUUAUAGAUGGAUCCGCGCCGCAUUAGCUAGUUGGUAAGGUAACUGCUUACCAAGGCAACGAUGCGUAGCCGACCUGAGAGGGUGAUUGGCCAGACUGGAACUGAGACACGUUCCAGACUCCUACGGGAGGCAGCAGUAGGGAAUCUUCCGCAAUGGGCGAAAGCCUGACGGAGCAACGCCGCGUGAGUGAUGAAGGUCUUCUGAUCGUAAAACUCUGUUAUUAGGGAAGAACAAAUGUGUAAGUAACUAUGCACGUCUUGACGGUACCUAAUCAGAAAGCCACGGCUAACUACGUG
RNAcentral lists this ribosomal RNA (497 nucleotides) under uncultured bacterium. RNAcentral's name for it is "partial 16S ribosomal RNA". It matches the Rfam family "Bacterial small subunit ribosomal RNA", at positions 28 to 507 of the family's 1533-position model. The record is from RNAcentral.